CACAGUUGUUAUGGAGGCCUGGGACGCUCAGGGUUAAUUGCUGCAUGUUUGCUGCUGCUGCUCUCUGUCUCCAUGACACCCAGUGCUGCUCUGGAGAUCCUGAGGGAGCUGAGAGGAGGUGGAGCCAUUCAGACCGUCAAGCAAUACAACUUCCUUCAUGAGUUUCGGGAGAAGUUUGAAGCAUAUCAAGAAACCAAAGAGCGACUUUCAGAGAGAUCAGUGUCCCGAUGAUCAACCUGACAUCCAGAUGAUGUAAAAGCAGAAAAAAAGACAAAUUACUUUGAUUGGUGUUUUUGCUCUAUGGAUUUUCUCUACUUUGAUUAUGAAUGCAUUUGUUUCUUUUCUGAUGGCACUUUAAAAAUUCUGUAUUUUUAAGUCAAUCUAAUAAUAUUGUGCUUAAUAUAUAACUUUAACUUUGCAAUUAAGUGGGUCUUGUUCAGUAAGUGAGUCUUAAAGGUGCAGCAAGUGAUUUCUGAGACACGCUGUUGAAAAUUGUAAUCAACACCCAAACAAACAAUUUUGUGAAUAUUUUCUAUCUGUUUUUUCUAUGUAUGUUGAAACAAAUUGUUUGUGUAGAGUCCUGGCUGUGUAAAUAAGGGAGAAACGUGGAUCAGACCGAGCACCAUAACACUCUUGUAGCCAAUCAGCAAUAGGGGCGUUUACGCUCAUGAUGGGGAGGAGAGAGCCUGAGCAAGCAGGAGAUUUGUCUAGACUGUAGAAAGAGAGAUGGCUGAUGCAUUACCAAGAGAAAAAUGUCACAAGAAUAUCUUUAAAAGAAGGCUUACAAUCAGGCAACCUCUAGGACCUGCGUUAAUAUGGGGAAAGCUUUCGGCACCGAGGUUGCUGUGUUUCCUCUCGGUAUGCGAGUAACAUUGGUUUUACUAUAUUUCACAAAACCAACACAUGCUGUUGCAAUAUUAUCUAUAGCGCUGCUGGUGCUUGGCUAUUACAAAAAUAAUUUCAUCAUUGGCUAUUACAGCUAUGAUGAAAACAUCCGUUUCGGCAGACACAGUCUUGAUAAACCAUCUGUUAUAGUUGUAUGUGUUGCAUGGCGUUCAUGAAUUUUUGUCUUAUUCAGACAUUGUUUCUUAGAAAUCGGUUGGCGCCUAAACAUGAUGUGUCUGCAUUAUAUCGUGCAUUAUCUGCAUUAAUCCUGCCCAGUCGAUCAAAUUGAGAGAAAUGUUUAUUUUUGUGUCUGGGAAACCAUAUGUUGCUUAUGUGAGUAAUGGUGAUUUGGAUGGUGGAUUAAGGUAUUAUGCAGCUGUUGGCAAUCAUUCCUGGCAAUUUUCUUUUCAAAGUGGUCAUUAGUAAGGAAAUUUAUAAAGUUUGCAACAAUUACGUUACCUAUGAAAUGAACCAAACCUUUAAUUUAAACAGAAACACAAAUCGUCAUACAAUCAAAACAGCUCAAAUGCUGUCGUGAAUGAUGAAAAAUAUUUUCAUAUUUUUUCAUAUUUCAUUUCAUACUUCAUAUUUGCCACAUGAUAAUAAAACUAUGACUAAUAUCCAGAAGUAAGCCUAUGGGCGAGACUUCCGGUUCAACAGCAUGCAGUAAACAGUGAAACUGUUUGUAGUACAAACCAGUGUUAAUUAAGAUAACGCAUUACAAUAAUAUGCUAAGACACCAAUCUGCAAUGUCAAGCAACAAAACAAGCUGUUUUGUACAGCUAAAAAUAGCUGGACCCAUAAAAUUUACAAAUGG
This is a long non-coding RNA of Sinocyclocheilus anshuiensis, 1702 nucleotides long. RefSeq lists it as uncharacterized. The record is from RefSeq and is a predicted model, not a curated record. NCBI's taxonomy places the organism in Eukaryota, Metazoa, Chordata, Actinopteri, Cypriniformes, Cyprinidae. The transcript is spliced from 3 exons.